Molecule: ribosomal RNA, 253 nt
Filed under: uncultured bacterium
Lineage: Bacteria
Description: partial 16S ribosomal RNA
Rfam family: Bacterial small subunit ribosomal RNA
Source: RNAcentral
UACGAAGGGGGCUAGCGUUGCUCGGAAUCACUGGGCGUAAAGGGCGCGUAGGCGGCCAGAUUAGUCAGGCGUGAAAGCCCUGGGCUCAACCUGGGGACUGCGCUUGAGACGGUAUGGCUUGAGGGUGGAAGAGGCUCGCGGAAUUCCCAGUGUAGAGGUGAAAUGCGUAGAUAUUGGGAGGAACACCAGUGGCGAAGGCGGCUCACUGGACCGGAACUGACGCUGAGGCGCGAAAGCGUGGGGAGCAAACGGG